RNAcentral lists this ribosomal RNA (359 nucleotides) under uncultured bacterium. Its description in RNAcentral is "bacterial SSU rRNA". It matches the Rfam family "Bacterial small subunit ribosomal RNA", at positions 29 to 410 of the family's 1533-position model. The record is from RNAcentral.
AACGAACGCUGGCGGCAGGCUUAACACAUGCAAGUCGAACGGGUGUAGCAAUACAUCAGUGGCAGACGGGUGAGUAACACGUGGGAACCUUCCUAGGGGGUACGGAACAACUCAGGGAAACUUGAGCUAAUACCGUAUACGCCCGUAAGGAGAAAGAUUCAUCGCCCCUAGACGGGCCCGCGUCGGAUUAGGUAGUUGGUGGGGUAACGGGCCUACCAAGCCUACGAUCCGUAGCUGAUCUGAGAGGANGAUCAGCCACACUGGGACUGAGACACGGCCCAGACUCCUACGGGAGGCAGCAGUGGGGAAUCUUGGACAAUGGGCGGCAAGCCUGAUCCAGCCAUGCCGCGUGAGUGAAG